UAUUCAAAAUUCAAUUUUGAACGAAAAAGAAUAAUACGAAUUUGGGGGCAGUUAUUGCACCCUUUAAGAACGGCACUGGCGGAAGGAUCUUCGUCAAUAACCUUGAAACGUCGUUCAUUACCGGAAAUAUCCCAUACAAAGUAGGUAGACGAGUAUUUUUUUCGCGGUCGCAAUUGUUAACGGUUUAAUCGAUGACAUCUAUAGGCAAGGACAGACCAGUCGAUUGAAUAGACGGUGCACGCAGUGGUAACAAUAGUAACAUUAAUGGCAACAGUGGCGAAGCUUAGCCAGCCUUGUUACCUCGAUAUGCAUCAAAGUGGAUCUAACCGUACAAAUAUUUAAUAUACAAAAUAUGUUAAUAUAUUCGUGGAACAUUCCAAUUCUAAAGAUUAGAGAAUUCCACGAAUAUAUAAACCCUGUAUAAUUGCUCGGAAAAUCGGGAUAUAAAUUGGAAACUUGGAGAAUAGGGAAAUAGAUUUUUAAUCCCAAUAUGACUGAAUCAUAAUCCCAAUAGAACUCGAAAAGAAUUUAACGGUAAAUAGAACGUUAUCCUUUUCAUAAUGCGUCAAGAAAUAUUUCGAUAUUGGAACAAUAAAUUAAACACGUAACAUUUCCUGCAAUAAAUAGCGGAAUUGAUUCUUCGUUUCAAUAUCGAGAAUUUUUUUUAUACCAUACUUUAUCGAAACGAGAACAGCAGACACAUACGAUUACUAUAAACCUCUAUGCAGUUGUCCAACUUUUAUAACAAUCACAUACGACCCUGAUAAUCGAUGUUCAAGGCUUCGUGCGAACUAAGCAAAAUUUAUACGGUGGUUAUUGACCAGUUUGUCGGAAAAAUGAACACGGUCGAAGUACUUACUAAGGUGAACGGAAGAAAGAUGCGAGUAAAACAGUGCAAAGAAGCGAGAAAAAGAGAGAGAGAGAGAGAGAGAAAGCGCGAUCACCAGUGGAUGCGCAAGAGACAGAGUGAGAGGCAGGCGAAACAGGAGAUCGGCCGUUUCCGCCUAGUUUCGGCUCCGUCCGUUGGGUCAUUGGGUCAAAUCUUCGGUUACAUGGGAGUAGAGCAGUACAGUAUACAAGACUGUACGCGUUCACAAUGCAAACUUCAACUGUUCGCGGCGCGCGGCCGGCUCGUUAUUCGAUGCACCACUAUUUUUAGAAAUAUACCGACCGCCCCGAGUGCCGAGAACCCAGAGCGGCCCACGACCCGACCGGGUCGAGACCGAAUAAAAUAUGAAUAACCGAGACACACGGUGUCCCGUGAAUCUCUCCCCGUGUUUUCUCGAGUUUCUUCACUUUUUCUACCGCGUUCCUACGCGUCGCGCUAUAUUUUAAUCAAAGUUGUUGUAUCUUUGCGUAUGUGGUUUUUGUAUAUUAAUGAUUUUCAGGAGAAAAAGUUUCUUUAAAAAAGUUUCUUUGUAUUUUUAAAAAAAAUAUAAUACAAUGGAAUAAUACCAUAUCUUUGAUUCGAGAUGAAUUAAUUUUCUCAAUAAAUAAAAGAAUAAUAAUAAAGGGAAGAAAUGAAUAAUCAAUGGAAGAUUUUCAGCUUCGUAUUAAAUCGAUAAAAAUUCCAAGUGGAAAUUUAAUUUUUAUUGGAAAACUGUAACGCCAGAAAAGAAAGUUGAAGACAAGUACGAAAGUAUCGGCAAGAAAUAUUAAAUUUUUUUGAUAAAUGUCGAAGUAUUUUCUCAUCGUAAUAAAUGAUGCAACGAAUAUAAAAAUUCUGCCGUAAUUCAAUAUUCGAGAAAUAGAAUAUAUAACUAGAUAAAUUUAGUAUAUUAACUGCUAAUAGUUUAAUCGUCGUAGCGUGGCGCUAGUGUCGCGUCAGUCAGUGUUUUUAAUGUCCAUUCGUGAAAUUCUCUUACACAAAUCUUUCUUUAUUCGUUAAAGAGACAAAAUUAAAGAUUGAAAUAUGAUAUCGUCGAUGUAGUCUGUUUCGGUUUCAUCGAUUUUCGAAGAGUGUACCGAAUUUCCAUCCACGAUUCCACGUAGAUAUCCGUAGUACUCGUGGGUUGUUAACCUCUGGACGUGGAUGUCGAUGCCAGCCGCUCAACUGGAUGUCGCCUCGAUACCGAAAUCUGAUCGAGGGCAAAUGUUUAUCGGCCUGUCGGACAACUGGCAGAAAGAGUUAAAAGCAGAGAUGAUCACGAAGAAAAGAGGGGAUAAUGUUGCCAUGUCGAGAAAGAAUCCUGAAGAUGUCUCUGUAUCUCAAGUAGUUUCGAUGCAAACUACUGAGAGGUCUUUUAAAAAAGGAGGAAAUUUACAGAAGCGAGAAAGGGAUCCAGAUUGAAAAAAAAGAAAGAAAAACUAGAAAAAGGGAAAGAAAGGAGGAAAAAAAGAAGCGAGGUAAAAAGGGGAGAAGAAAAGGAGGAAGAUAAAUCAUUAACCUAUAUAUUAGGACGGAACGAAUUAUUUGUCGGCCAUUGUGAAAGCAUGCCAAGUAACCUGAACAAGAUUUUUCGAUCGAAUUAAACAACAUCGGUUGAUGAAAAUUCACUGAAAAUUUUGCUUCGCGAUAAGAUUCGAAAAAAGAAAAUGGAAUCGAAAAUUGAAAAUUAUCAAGUUAUUCGAGUUGAUAUAAGAAGAGGAAUUGAAAAAAAAAAUUGGAAGAUUGAAAUUGGGACGGAAGGGUUUGUCCCUCUUGGAUAUCGUCUUGGUUGGUUGUAUAUUAACGAUUUAUUAACAUUAUUUACGAGCACGCUCGAAUUUCCAAUUAACGCCCGGUCCCCGGUCGGAUUUGCCCUCUGCGCCACCAAUUUCUCCAAUUAAACGCGUUGCGAAAUGCCGUUACAUAAUAGAUCAAUUAACAAACGAUGUCUGAUUCGUGUAACAACCCCAACGUCCACGUGUCCCUGGAGAACGUGCCGCUUCUAUCCUUCCGAUGCAAAGUAGUUAUAAUUUAGUCCAUGAUAAUAAUCAUCGUCGAAUAAUACAAAGAUCUGAGGCGGAACGUGACCGGAUGUUAUUUGCAACGAGGCGCCGGGACGACACUGACAAACUGCUAUCCGUGCAGAGAGAAUGGAACACAUUAUUCUUCCUCCGACAAACGACUACCUUCAUGUACUUAUUCUCUUCUCCUCCUCCUGCUCCUCGAUGAUUUUAUGUACAAGGUGUUUCAUGCGAAGUAGACAAGGCUUGAGAAGGUUGUUCCCGACGUGAUUUCAUGCAAACUUUUUCUCUGCGAAAAUUUUCGUUUCGCCUUCGUUAGCGAGUUAUUGAAGGAAACACACUGGCCAAUCGCAGCGCGCCGGGAGUCACGUGAUUGGUCUAUACUAUAUCGUUGAUUUCCUUAUUACGAUAUAUUCUUGUCGUUAUCUUGUAAACGAUUGAAUAUAAUAUAAAUCGAUCAAUAAUUAAUCGA
Molecule: long non-coding RNA, 3361 nt
Filed under: Apis mellifera (honey bee)
Lineage: Eukaryota; Metazoa; Arthropoda; Insecta; Hymenoptera; Apidae
Description: uncharacterized LOC102653896
Source: RNAcentral